This is a long non-coding RNA of Scatophagus argus, 687 nucleotides long. RefSeq lists it as uncharacterized. The transcript has 2 exons. The record is from RefSeq and is a predicted model, not a curated record. NCBI's taxonomy places the organism in Eukaryota, Metazoa, Chordata, Actinopteri, Scatophagidae.
UUAUAAAUAGGAUGCCACAUUCUGUUGUUACCAGUAUUUUGUAUUGUUCCAUAAUGUAAUCCUUCAUAUACUGGACAAACCUCAAAGGAGACACAUGGUGGACCUGACUGCAUUGGAAUUGUUUCUUUUGUAGGUUGUGUUGGUGUUGGAUGUUCUUCUACAUUGAAGAGUGUUGUGGUGAUAUGCAGUUUUUUAUUAUUUUAAUUUAUGUUUUUUCUGCAGAUGUGAUAUUAUUCUAAUUUCUUUUACAUAUUCUCUUGGUGUUGGAGGUAGGUUUCUUACUGACAAAAAGGUGGUGUUCUGACAUCUAAUUUCUUAUUCUUUUCCUUUUUUUUUGCAUUACUGUUCUAGAGUCUUUAACUGUUACUGUUAAAAUACCUGCAAUGGGUCAGUGAGAGUCCCUCUUGUUUAAUUCUUCCUAUUUCACGUAAAACACGAGGUGUCAGAAGUUUUUUGUUUUUAUGUUUGCAUUGUAUGUAUUCAUGCAUAUUUAUUUUGUGCAGCUUUUUAUGUUCCUAUUUGUUUCAGAGGAUCUAUUGGUAUUCAAAGUUGUUUCACACUUUUUGGACGGUUGUGUCAUGAUAUGCAGAUAAUUCUGUGUUUGUAUUUAAUUAUGUCGUUAUUUUUUAAUUGAUUUAUGCAGUAUUUUAUGUGUUUCAUUUUACUGUUGGAGUUUCUUUGGAGGAU